CGAGCGGAUGAAGUGAGCUUGCUCAUGGAUUCAGCGGCGGACGGGUGAGUAAUGCCUAGGAAUCUGCCUGGUAGUGGGGGACAACGUUUCGAAAGGAACGCUAAUACCGCAUACGUCCUACGGGAGAAAGCAGGGGACCUUCGGGCCUUGCGCUAUCAGAUGAGCCUAGGUCGGAUUAGCUAGUUGGUGAGGUAAUGGCUCACCAAGGCUACGAUCCGUAACUGGUCUGAGAGGAUGAUCAGUCACACUGGAACUGAGACACGGUCCAGACUCCUACGGGAGGCAGCAGUGGGGAAUAUUGGACAAUGGGCGAAAGCCUGAUCCAGCCAUGCCGCGUGUGUGAAGAAGGUCUUCGGAUUGUAAAGCACUUUAAGUUGGGAGGAAGGGUUGUAGAUUAAUACUCUGCAAUUUUGACGUUACCGACAGAAUAAGCACCGGCUAACUCUGUGCCAGCAGCCGCGGUAAUACAGAGGGUGCAAGCGUUAAUCGGAAUUACUGGGCGUAAAGCGCGCGUAGGUGGUUCGUUAAGUUGGAUGUGAAAUCCCCGGGCUCAACCUGGGAACUGCAUCCAAAACUGGCGAGCUAGAGUAUGGUAGAGGGUGGUGGAAUUUCCUGUGUAGCGGUGAAAUGCGUAGAUAUAGGAAGGAACACCAGUGGCGAAGGCGACCACCUGGACUGAUACUGACACUGAG
RNAcentral lists this ribosomal RNA (692 nucleotides) under Pseudomonas teessidea. RNAcentral's name for it is "bacterial SSU rRNA". It matches the Rfam family "Bacterial small subunit ribosomal RNA", at positions 63 to 750 of the family's 1533-position model. The record is from RNAcentral. Lineage: Bacteria; Pseudomonadati; Pseudomonadota; Gammaproteobacteria; Pseudomonadales; Pseudomonadaceae.